Molecule: non-coding RNA, 72 nt
Organism: Phrynosoma platyrhinos (Desert horned lizard)
Lineage: Eukaryota; Metazoa; Chordata; Lepidosauria; Squamata; Phrynosomatidae
Source: the annotation of a GenBank genome assembly
GCCAGUGUGGUGUAGUGGUUUGAGCACUGAACUACGACUUUGGAGGUCAGGGUUUGAUUCCCUGCUCAACCA